RNAcentral lists this ribosomal RNA (273 nucleotides) under uncultured Flavobacteriaceae bacterium. RNAcentral's name for it is "partial 16S ribosomal RNA". It matches the Rfam family "Bacterial small subunit ribosomal RNA", at positions 1 to 279 of the family's 1533-position model. Lineage: Bacteria; Pseudomonadati; Bacteroidota; Flavobacteriia; Flavobacteriales; Flavobacteriaceae. The record is from RNAcentral.
UAGUGAGUUUGAUCCUGGCUCAGGAUGAACGCUAGCGGGAGGCCUAACACAUGCAAGCUGAGCGGUAGAGAUCCUUCGGGAUCUUGUGAGCGGCGUACGGGUGCGGAACACGUGUGCAACCUGCCUUCAUCAGGGGGAUAGCCUUUACGAAAGGAAGAUUAAUACCCCCAUAAUAUAUAGAGUGGCAUCACUUUAUAUUGAAAACUGAGGUGGAUAAGAUGGGCACGCGCAAGAUUAGAUAGUUGGUGAGGUAACGGCUCACCAAGUCGAUGA